AGUUUAUUCAGGCACAGAGCUUAGUGGUUACAAAAGAUGUUUCUCAGAGGCACUUUUAUUAACAGUUACAAUACUAGAAUGAAGAGAGUCAAACUCCCUAAAGUGUCACUUCUUUUACUUAAAGUAGUUAGAACUUCUUCCUCUGCUACUUUUAAACCGCAGUCACCCUGUGAUAUACAAUCACAGAUUCUCUGUUCCUUACCAGGACACAGACUACAUUAAAUAAGUCACCAAACUUAUUUUAAACCGACUCAAAAUGGCCUGGCGGCCCUGACCAAGGAGUAGAAGCAAGAUGGCUUUAUUAUAGGAAUUUGGGAAACUAUCAAUGUCCGAGCGAGGAAAUGAUGGAAUUAGGCAAAUGGCAAGUCCGGGAUGCUGGGGACAAUGGGUGCUUCCAGACUGAACAAACAAUGGCUGGGUCCAAAAAUGUCUAUUGGAAAUGGCAGACAAAUCGUAGUGUCUCAAAUUGUUUGUGUUUGUCCUGUCUUCCAGAGAAGCCCGGGAAUUGCCCACAGGUAAAACCAGGCACGCUUGUAGACUGCAGCGCACAGUGCAACUCUGAUGUUGGGUGCCCUGGGAACAAGAAGUGUUGCUACUCUUACUUCUGCAAAAUCUGCCUGGAUCCUGAGAAGGUCUGACCUUGGAGGAGGCCUGGAUCCAUGGACAGCGACCACCAGAGAAGUCUGUCUGAAGCUCUUCUGCCCAUCUCUGCUGCUCCACCCAAGUCCACAUCCCACCCUGCUCCAUCCCCACUUGCCCCAUGGAUGACGGUCCCAAUUCUGCUUUGCUAACCCCCUUCCACUAACAAUAAAUGCACCAGCCUCCUCGACCUUAAGACUUUGGACUCCUUUUUGGCUGAUGGGGAGGAGGUGGCCUACUUUUGACUGAGGUUCAUUUGAAAAAAACCUGCUCUUGUUUUUGUCCUGAAAUCCUUCUCCCCGUGCCCUCCAGAUGCCCACGUCUCAUUCCUGGAGGGGCUUCCCUUGACCUUCUUAUGGGUCCCGAGUUCUGGUUCUGGAGUCCCAUCAGUCCUUGGCCUGGUUCUCCUCCUCUUUCCGUCGAUCCAAUUCUGGUCAGGUCUUGUCAGGGGUAUCAGAGUAAUUCGCAGCGUAGCAGCAGUUGUAUGUUGUCAAUGGAGCGUAGAACGAAGAGACGUCAGAAACGAUGUUAAAAAGUAUCUACAAAGUUUUACUGAACAAGACAAACAGACUUGCAGACAAUAGACACAGGACUUUCACUCUAGGCAAACAGCACAGAUCUUCUCAGCAGGCAGAACAGAUCUCAUCUGGUGCAAUUGUCAUGAAGACUUUUACAACAAAAGUUAAAACAUCCUGCUCAGACUGAACAGAAUAUCCCACUUCUGACACCAAAAAUGUUAUGAAUAACCUUUCAAUAACGUUAAAGCAUAGGUUCUUUUUAUUGCACUUUCAGUCUGAGAGGUAUAGCAGAACUUUUUACAGAACAACAAAGAACAACGUUUAGACAUACAAACAUACAGAUUCUAUGCAACUACAUUGGAUUCAUAAACAACCUACAGUUACAUUGGCUAAGAAACAAACAAGGGGGGGGGGUUUACAUUUUUAUUCUUCAUUCACACACAACAUGCAUCCAUCUUCAUGCACACAAAUAUUACCAUAUUCUUUCUCCCUCCUUGGAGAAGCACCUGCUUAGGCCAGACCCAGCUUCCACUGCUGCCUGCCAAGACAUAGUUCCAAAACGCCAAAGCGCCAAAACUUCAAAAAGACCAUGACUUCAAAACGCACUCCUUCCUCUUUCCCUGAGAAAAGGAGGCCCCAAACAGUGAACAGGAUCCUGCUUUCCCAGAGCAGAUCUGCCACUCCCAAGGACACCGUCUCCACUGAGCAUGGCGGGUGAACAGCGUCGCUGUCUGUCACACCUUCUGGACUCUCAUAAGGUCACUUAUAUAGCAAUAUUUUGCUGAUGAUGUUGUCCCAAAGUUGCAAAUGAGUGAUAGACGUCUUCCAUUCUGGAAUAUCCUCAGUUUCCUGGACCAGAUGUUGAUUCCUCUUGAUUGGCGUUAGCAAACACAAGCAGCUCUGCCCCAAAAGUUCAUCAAGUUAGCAAAUGUUGACAGAUGUUAACAGAUGUAAACAUUUCUCUUAUCAGUCACAGUUCUUAUCACAGUUUGCUGGGCAGAUCAACUAUUUCAGGUCUCAUUAGCAGGUUUUAAUUACAAUUCCUGAGCAGGUCUUAGUCUACAGACUGGUGUCUUCAAAUGUACUAACUCACUCAUUCUUCCAUUCAUACCACAUAUCCUAUAUGCAUAUUUUGGUCACACAAUCAGCUAUAAUACAAACACACUUGAGUCUGGACACUCCUCUCUGUGUUCCAGCCACACAUCCAAGGUCAAUACAGCUUCUUACCAAUUAACUCUUUACACACCUGGAUGAUGCAAUCAGGAUGCAAUACAUGCCAGACACAAAUUUCAUUUAAACACUACCAAUACACAAAUCCCACAUUAACAAGGGGUUCUAUGUAGACAUAAAAUUCACUGUUGGAGGGGAAGGGACUCUUGAGCUCCAGUUAAGGAGCCAGGUACCUUCAGGUAGUUGCAGUGGUCUUCUCCUUCAGGAACAAGAACACGCAAGCAGAGCUGUUCUUUCCAAAAGGAAGGCUUUUCUCUUUAGUUGCAGCGGCAGGAUAUACAUUAUAUAUAAUAAUAAUAAUAAUAAUAAUAAUAAUAAUAAUAAUAAUAAUAAUAAUAAUUUUAUUCUUGUACCCCACCUU
Molecule: long non-coding RNA, 2748 nt
Filed under: Anolis carolinensis (green anole)
Lineage: Eukaryota; Metazoa; Chordata; Lepidosauria; Squamata; Anolidae
Description: lncRNA (ENSACAG00000042352.1)
Source: RNAcentral